AUUGAACGCUGGCGGCAGGCCUAACACAUGCAAGUCGAACGAGUGGCGGACGGGUGAGUAAUGUCUGGGAAACUGCCUGAUGGAGGGUGAUAACUACUGGAAACGGUAGCUAAUACCGCAUACCAUCGGAUGUGCCCAGAUGGGAUUAGCUUGUUGGUGGGGUAACGGCUCACCAAGGCGACGAUCCCUAGCUGGUCUGAGAGGAUGACGAGACACAUGGGAACUGAGACACGGUCCAGACUACUAAGGGAGGCAGAAGUGGGGAAUAUUGCACAAUGGGCGCAAGCAUGAUGCAGCCAUGGCGCGUGUAUGAAGAAGGCCUUCGGGUUGUAAAGUACUUUCAGCUGGGAGGCGGUACCCGCAGAAGAAGCAUCGGCUAACGCCGUGCCAGCAGACGCGGUAAUAC
Molecule: ribosomal RNA, 406 nt
Filed under: uncultured bacterium
Lineage: Bacteria
Description: partial 16S ribosomal RNA
Rfam family: Bacterial small subunit ribosomal RNA
Source: RNAcentral